RNAcentral lists this ribosomal RNA (379 nucleotides) under uncultured bacterium. RNAcentral's name for it is "bacterial SSU rRNA". It matches the Rfam family "Bacterial small subunit ribosomal RNA", at positions 28 to 409 of the family's 1533-position model. The record is from RNAcentral.
GACGAACGCUGGCGGCGUGCUUAACACAUGCAAGUCGAGCGGUAAGGCCCUUUCGGGGGUACACGAGCGGCGAACGGGUGAGUAACACGUGGGUGACCUGCCCUCAGCUCUGGGAUAAGCCUGGGAAACCGGGUCUAAUACCGGAUAUGACUCCAUGACGCAUGUUGUGGGGUGAAAGCCUUGUGCGGCUGAGGAUGGGCCCGCGGCCUAUCAGCUUGUUGGUGGGGUGAUGGCCUACCAAGGCGACGACGGGUAGCCGGCCUGAGAGGGCGACCGGCCACACUGGGACUGAGACACGGCCCAGACUCCUACGGGAGGCAGCAGUGGGGAAUCUUGCGCAAUGGGCGAAAGCCUGACGCAGCGACGCCGCGUGAGGGAU